RNAcentral lists this ribosomal RNA (465 nucleotides) under Streptococcus mutans. RNAcentral's name for it is "bacterial SSU rRNA". It matches the Rfam family "Bacterial small subunit ribosomal RNA", at positions 28 to 470 of the family's 1533-position model. Lineage: Bacteria; Bacillati; Bacillota; Bacilli; Lactobacillales; Streptococcaceae. The record is from RNAcentral.
GACGAACGCUGGCGGCGUGCCUAAUACAUGCAAGUGGGACGCAAGAGGACACACUGUGCUUGCACACCGUGUUUUCUUGAGUCGCGAACGGGUGAGUAACGCGUAGGUAACCUGCCUAUUAGCGGGGGAUAACUAUUGGAAACGAUAGCUAAUACCGCAUAAUAUUAAUUAUUGCAUGAUAAUUGAUUGAAAGAUGCAAGCGCAUCACUAGUAGAUGGACCUGCGUUGUAUUAGCUAGUUGGUAAGGUAAGAGCUUACCAAGGCGACGAUACAUAGCCGACCUGAGAGGGUGAUCGGCCACACUGGGACUGAGACACGGCCCAGACUCCUACGGGAGGCAGCAGUAGGGAAUCUUCGGCAAUGGACGAAAGUCUGACCGAGUAACGCCGCGUGAGUGAAGAAGGUUUUCGGAUCGUAAAGCUCUGUUGUAAGUCAAGAACGUGUGUGAGAGGGAAAGUUCACACA